This 933-nucleotide ribosomal RNA is filed under the name Triticum aestivum (bread wheat). RNAcentral's name for it is "partial small subunit ribosomal RNA". Lineage: Eukaryota; Viridiplantae; Streptophyta; Magnoliopsida; Poales; Poaceae. The record is from RNAcentral.
AUGUUCAACGACUUUAUUGCCGAUCUCGGUUUCCGUGAGAUUGAUAGGAUUGGCGCCAGGUUCACCUGGACCAAUCGGCAGGCUUCCCCGACCCAGUCCGUCCUGGACAGGGUCCUAGUUUCCCCGGAUUGGGACCUCCGUUGCCCCCUCACUUCUCUUCGCGCCAUCACCCGGAUUGGCUUUGACCAUGUCCCACUUCUUCUUUCCUCCGCCGAUGAGCGCCCGCCGAUCACCCCGCAAUUCCGGUUUGAGACCUUCUGGCUUUCCCAAACCGGGUUCAUGGAGGCCGUCGGCGCACGCUGGGUGGAGGCCAGCGCUCAACCUCACCCCUGUCCCCCCUCGGCCAUUGAUUCAUGGCACUUCUGUGCCAAGCGUGGCCGGCAAUUCAUGAAGGGAUGGGGCGCUAACUUGGGUCGAGACCUCCGCGAUUGUAAGAAGGCCCUGUUAGCCGCCAUUCAGGCGCUCGACUUGCGGGCGGAUGUGGUGGGGCUCUCUCCCGAUGAGUGGCUUUCUCGCUAUGACUUAGAAGAUCAUCUCCCCGUUAUUUACACUAAUGAAGAGGCCUACUGGCGCAUCUGUGGUGCCCGGAAGUGGGUUUUGAAGGGUGACGCGAACACGGCUUACUUUUAGGCGAUCGCGAAUGGCCGCCGUCGUCGCAACACCAUCCCCCUCUUGUGGGACGGUACCACCCUCCUUCAAGACCCGCGCGACAUCCGGACCCAUGUUGAUGGGUUCUAUAGGUCUUUGUUCUCUGCCGCUCCUAGGAGCGACCUCUCCCUGGCCCCUGACUGCUGGACUGGCCCACAGCUGGUCUCUGACUCGGAGAACGCGGCCCUUAUGGCCCCCUUCUCCGAGGGAGAGGUUUGGGCUGGCAUUAGGGGCAUGAACCCGACGGCCUCCCGGUUAAGUUCUUCCAGACCUUCUGGAACGUGA